This 653-nucleotide ribosomal RNA is filed under the name uncultured cyanobacterium. RNAcentral describes it as "bacterial SSU rRNA". It matches the Rfam family "Bacterial small subunit ribosomal RNA", at positions 118 to 804 of the family's 1533-position model. The record is from RNAcentral. Lineage: Bacteria; Bacillati; Cyanobacteriota.
UGAGAAUCUGCCUUUUGGACGGGGAUAACAGUUGGAAACGACUGCUAAGACCCGAUGUGCCUAUGGGUGAAAGUAAUUUAGCCAGAAGAUGAGCUCGCGUCAGAUUAGCUAGUUGGAGUGGUAACGGCACACCAAGGCGACGAUCUGUAGCUGGUCUGAGAGGAUGACCAGCCACACUGGGACUGAGACACGGCCCAGACUCCUACGGGAGGCAGCAGUGGGGAAUUUUCCGCAAUGGGCGAAAGCCUGACGGAGCAAGACCGCGUGGGGGAGGAAGGUCUGUGGAUUGUAAACCCCUUUUGUCAAGGAAGAACACAAUGACGGUACUUGACGAAUCAGCAUCGGCUAACUCCGUGCCAGCAGCCGCGGUAAUACGGAGGAUGCAAGCGUUAUCCGGAUUUAUUGGGCGUAAAGCGUCCGUAGGUGGUUGUUCAAGUCUGCUGUCAAAGCGCGAGGCUUAACUUCGUAAAGGCAGUGGAAACUGAGCGACUUGAGAAUGAUAGGGGCAGAGGGAAUUCCCAGUGUAGCGGUGAAAUGCGUAGAGAUUGGGAAGAACACCGGUGGCGAAAGCGCUCUGCUGGGUCAUAUCUGACACUGAGGGACGAAAGCUAGGGGAGCGAAAGGGAUUAGAUACCCCUGUAGUCCUAGCCGUA